AAGCAGGGGAUCGUAAGGCCUUGCCCUUUUGGAGCGGCCGAUGUCUGAUUAGCUAGUUGGUGGGGUAAAGGCCUACCAAGGCGACGAUCAGUAGUUGGUCUGAGAGGACGACCAGCCACACUGGGACUGAGACACGGCCCAGACUCCUACGGGAGGCAGCAGUGGGGAAUUUUGGACAAUGGGCGAAAGCCUGAUCCAGCAAUGCCGCGUGAGUGAAGAAGGCCUUCGGGUUGUAAAGCUCUUUCAGUCGAGAAGAAAAGGUUGUGAUGAAUAAUCACAACUCAUGACGGUAUCGACAGAAGAAGCACCGGCUAACUACGUGCCAGCAGCCGCGGUAAUACGUAGGGUGCAAGCGUUAAUCGGAAUUACUGGGCGUAAAGGGUGCGCAGGCGGCUUUGUGAGUCAGAUGUGAAAUCCCCGGGCUUAACCUGGGAAUUGCGUUUGAAACUACAAAGCUAGA
This 460-nucleotide ribosomal RNA is filed under the name uncultured beta proteobacterium. RNAcentral's name for it is "bacterial SSU rRNA". It matches the Rfam family "Bacterial small subunit ribosomal RNA", at positions 190 to 645 of the family's 1533-position model. The record is from RNAcentral. Lineage: Bacteria; Pseudomonadati; Pseudomonadota; Betaproteobacteria.